Saccostrea cuccullata (small rock oyster) is the source of this 739-nucleotide long non-coding RNA. RefSeq lists it as uncharacterized. NCBI's taxonomy places the organism in Eukaryota, Metazoa, Mollusca, Bivalvia, Ostreida, Ostreidae. The transcript has 3 exons. The record is from RefSeq and is a predicted model, not a curated record.
AACAGGUCAAACAGCAAGUUCAGGUAUGAACAUUACAAAAACACACUUAGAAGAAGAUGACCCUCGGGAAUUGGACAGUUAGGAAGCAUACAGGAAAAGAAAGAAGACUAGACAUCACUUCAAAGGAAGAAAACAGCUUCAUCUUAAUGAAUGAAAUGGACAGAAGCAGAACUGAAGGAGAUGCAUGAGGAAUAUUUCAAAGAAUGCCUGAACACAACCACUACUCCUGGAAGACAACAUAGCAAUAUUGCAAUAUAAAAGAGCAGGGUCAAUGGAGGUUUCAUACAGUAUAGGCCAUGGGGGACCCUGAAGAAGAAAGUAUUGAACAAUAACAAAAAUAAAAACAUUUUGACAUUUAUUGUAAUACAGGAUUAAAACCGUACCUGUAAAAUUUUUGCAUGUAAUGACUUUUCUCUUGCUCUACAACUAAUUACAGUGAGUAUUUGAUUGAAUAUCUUGAUCCCAAUUUGUCAGAUUUUGACAUAGUGGCAUAGUGCAUAAAAUUGUUUAAAGUUUUGAUACGAAGAAUUUCAUACAUUGUACUUGUAUCUGAGUUUAAGUUAACAAUGAAAAGUUUAGUUCCUGGUGCAACAUACUGUUUUAUUUCCGGAAAAAUUUGUUUGUGAUUUCAAACUCAGGUUAAUGAGGUUAUAUCUUUUAACAUCGGUGACUAUAAAAUUCAUUCCUUAAAUAUAGAAGUACAUGUACCUGAUACAAAUAGGAAUUUUUAUAAUUCUUG